AUGGAAACACCUUUACCACAUUCCCCCAGUCUUACUGUCAUUCUCACAUUACUACAGAGUUAUUGUGUGGAUGUUACUUCUGGACCCAGUGUGACAGUGCUGUCCCCCUCCAGUGUGGAGCUGCAGCAGGAGAAGGUCACACUCGUGUGUGUGGCCCACAAGGGCUUCCCCUCCGACUGGAAGUUGAGCUGGAAGGUUGACGGCAGCAGCUGGAGCUCGGGGACAAGCCACAGCGCCGCUAUUCUGAACGCGGACGGCCUCUACAGCUGGAGCAGCACGCUGAGCCUCCACCCGGAUCAGUGGAGGAACAAGGUGGUGACCUGUGAGGCCUCCAAAGACAACCAACCUACUGUGGUGAGCACAGUGAACACAGAGCAGUGCUCAGAGCUGUGAGCUCACACACACUUUACU
Tachysurus fulvidraco (yellow catfish) is the source of this 411-nucleotide non-coding RNA. NCBI's taxonomy places the organism in Eukaryota, Metazoa, Chordata, Actinopteri, Siluriformes, Bagridae. The record is from the annotation of a RefSeq genome assembly.